RNAcentral lists this ribosomal RNA (506 nucleotides) under uncultured bacterium. RNAcentral describes it as "partial 16S ribosomal RNA". It matches the Rfam family "Bacterial small subunit ribosomal RNA", at positions 28 to 523 of the family's 1533-position model. The record is from RNAcentral.
GAUGAACGCUAGCUACAGGCUUAACACAUGCAAGUCGAGGGGUAACAAGAGGAAAGCUUGCUUUCCUUGUUGACGACCGGCGCACGGGUGAGUAACGCGUAUCCAACCUGCCUAUAACUAGGGAAUAACCUUGCGAAAGUAAGACUAAUGCCCUAUGACUUCCUUUGGCGGCAUCAAAAAAGGAAUAAAGAUUUAUCGGUUAUAGAUGGGGAUGCGUCUGAUUAGCUUGUUGGCGGGGUAACGGCCCACCAAGGCAACGAUCAGUAGGGGUUCUGAGAGGAAGGUGCCCCACAUUGGAACUGAGACACGGUCCAAAGUCCUACGGGAGGCAGCAGUGAGGAAUAUUGGUCAAUGGGCGGGAGCCUGAACCAGCCAAGUAGCGUGCAGGAUGACGGCCCUAUGGGUUGUAAACUGCUUUUAUACAGGAAUAAAGUUAGCCACGUGUGGUUAUUUGUAGGUACUGUAUGAAUAAGGACCGGCUAAUUCCGUGCCAGCCGCCGCAGUAA